Molecule: long non-coding RNA, 322 nt
Filed under: Fukomys damarensis (Damara mole-rat)
Lineage: Eukaryota; Metazoa; Chordata; Mammalia; Rodentia; Bathyergidae
Description: lncRNA (ENSFDAG00000029107.1)
Source: RNAcentral
GCUGAACCCCAGGAUGUUCGCCUGUUUCUGUGUCUUUCUUUUUCGUUCUCCUCGAGAACCUCGGUCAGGUUCAAGCUCGCAGGCUGGUUCCGACAGAAAGAAUCCUUCCUCUCCGAGAAAGUUUAUUGCAACACGUCUGCUGAGUGGCUGGUACCAAAGACCUCUUCCAGGAGUAACUACGGAAGCCUGAGGCACAGGUUGAGACCGAGGCAUCGGCGACUCCUGGGCCAAUCUGACACCUCUCCGACAGCCUUGGAAGUGGUGAGCUCCUGUGCUCUGAGGAAUCAUCCUCCUCUCCUGGGAAAAAGGUAAGAAACACCUC